Oncorhynchus keta (chum salmon) is the source of this 357-nucleotide long non-coding RNA. RefSeq lists it as uncharacterized. The transcript has 3 exons. Lineage: Eukaryota; Metazoa; Chordata; Actinopteri; Salmoniformes; Salmonidae. The record is from RefSeq and is a predicted model, not a curated record.
CUCCUGCUGUUAAAGAGGUCGUUGACCUCCUGUUGUUAAAGAGGUCGUUGACCUCCUGCUGUUAAAGAGGUCGUUGAUCUCCUGCUGUUAAAGAGGUCGUUGACCUCCUGUUGUUAAAGAGGUCGUUGACCUCCUGCUGUUAAAGAGGUCGUUGACCUCCUGCUGUUAAAGAGGUCGUUGAUCUCCUGCUGUUAAAGAGGUCGUUGACCUCCUGUUGUUAAAGAGGUCGUUGACCUCCUGCUGUUAAAGAGGUCGUUGACCUCCUGCUGUUAAAGAGGUCGUUGAUCUCCUGCUGUUAAAGAGGUCGUUGACCUCCUGUUGUUAAAGAGGUCGUUGACCUCCUGCUGUUAAAGAGGU